GACGAACGCUGGCGGCGUGCCUAACACAUGCAAGUCGAACGGAAAGGCCCUGCUUUUGUGGGGUGCUCGAGUGGCGAACGGGUGAGUAACACGUGAGUAACCUGCCCUUGACUUUGGGAUAACUUCAGGAAACUGGGGCUAAUACCGGAUAGGAGCUCCUGCUGCAUGGUGGGGGUUGGAAAGUUUCGGCGGUUGGGGAUGGACUCGCGGCUUAUCAGCUUGUUGGUGGGGUAGUGGCUUACCAAGGCUUUGACGGGUAGCCGGCCUGAGAGGGUGACCGGCCACAUUGGGACUGAGAUACGGCCCAGACUCCUACGGGAGGCAGCAGUGGGGAAUAUUGCACAAUGGGCGGAAGCCUGAUGCAGCAACGCCGCGUGCGGGAUGACGGCCUUCGGGUUGUAAACCGCUUUCGCUUGUGACGAAGCGUGAGUGACGGUAAUGGGUAAAGAAGCACCGGCUAACUACGUG
RNAcentral lists this ribosomal RNA (468 nucleotides) under uncultured bacterium. RNAcentral describes it as "partial 16S ribosomal RNA". It matches the Rfam family "Bacterial small subunit ribosomal RNA", at positions 28 to 507 of the family's 1533-position model. The record is from RNAcentral.